UUCAUUAGUUUUCAUCGAAGGUUCAUCCUUUGUUUCUUGGACAUGUCCAUUUGUCAUGUCCGUCUUUGCCACAAAUUCAACAUCUAGAUCUGUUGUCAAUUUCCAUCUAAUUCAUUUCCUUCCUAAGUCUCAAGAAUUGUGAUUUUUCAUUUUAUUGCAACGAUUCUUUUUAUGGUACUAUCAAUAUAUCAUUUGUUAGUUAUGACCAAAUACUUUGCAUGUGGGAUCGGUUGAAAUUAAUGACUAUAACUGUGAUGAUACUCCUUCAGGGUGUAGCACCGAUCAAUAUAUCGUCAGAAAUUAGUUGAGAUAUGAGUACAAACAGCCAUCACAUGUGAAUAUGAUAAAUGAUAGCAUUACCAUUUCUGGCAUAUACACCUAUGCUUCGAUAAUUGCACUAUCUGCACCCUAUAUAGUUAAAAAAUUAAAUUUAUUCAUUUAUUACGAAUAAUAACAUGAUCAUAUAAAGAAAGUUUUUUAUUACCGUUCAUCUGAGUAUUGUUGUCUUUAUUCAUAUAAGGCCCAUGGAAUAUCGUUUGUACUUGAAACACCCCACUUGUCCUAUCAAAUCUUAUAAUAUUAUGGGA
Molecule: long non-coding RNA, 587 nt
Filed under: Elaeis guineensis (African oil palm)
Lineage: Eukaryota; Viridiplantae; Streptophyta; Magnoliopsida; Arecales; Arecaceae
Description: long non-coding RNA (EGUI_LNC033236)
Source: RNAcentral